RNAcentral lists this ribosomal RNA (1357 nucleotides) under uncultured Bacteroidales bacterium. RNAcentral describes it as "bacterial SSU rRNA". It matches the Rfam family "Bacterial small subunit ribosomal RNA", at positions 28 to 1379 of the family's 1533-position model. The record is from RNAcentral. Lineage: Bacteria; Pseudomonadati; Bacteroidota; Bacteroidia; Bacteroidales.
GAUGAACGCUAGCGGCAGGCCUAACACAUGCAAGUCGAGGGGCAGCAUAAGAAGUAUUUCGGUACUUUUGAUGGCGACCGGCGGACGGGUGCGUAACGCGUAUGCAACCUACCUUUUACAGGGGGAUAACGGAGAGAAAUUUCCACUAAUACCCCAUAACAUCAUUUAAGGCAUCUUAUAUGGUUGAAAACUCCGGUGGUAAAAGAUGGGCAUGCGUUGUAUUAGUUAGUUGGUGGGGUAACGGCUCACCAAGGCAACGAUACAUAGGGGGACUGAGAGGUUAGCCCCCCACACUGGUACUGAGACACGGACCAGACUCCUACGGGAGGCGGCAGUGAGGAAUAUUGGUCAAUGGGGGCAACCCUGAACCAGCCAUGCCGCGUGCAGGAAGACGGCUCUAUGAGUUGUAAACUGCUUUUAUACAGGGAUAAAUCGGGGGACGUGUCCUCUGUUGAAGGUACUGUAUGAAUAAGGAUCGGCUAACUCCGUGCCAGCAGCCGCGGUAAUACGGAGGAUCCGAGCGUUAUCCGGAUUUAUUGGGUUUAAAGGGUGCGUAGGCGGAAUGUUAAGUUAGAGGUGAAAUGCGGUGGCUCAACCAUCGAACUGCCUCUGAUACUGGCAAUCUAGAGAUUAGAUGCUGUGGGCGGAAUGUGUGGUGUAGCGGUGAAAUGCUUAGAGAUCACACAGAACACCGAUUGCGAAGGCAGCUCACAAAUCUACUUCUGACGUUGAGGCACGAAAGCGUGGGGAUCAAACAGGAUUAGAUACCCUGGUAGUCCACGCAGUAAACGAUGAUAGCUCGUUGUCGGCGAUACACAGUCGGUGACUUAGCGAAAGCGUUAAGCUAUCCACCUGGGGAGUACGUUCGCAAGAAUGAAACUCAAAGGAAUUGACGGGGGCCCGCACAAGCGGAGGAACAUGUGGUUUAAUUCGAUGAUACGCGAGGAACCUUACCCGGGCUUGAAAGUUAAUGACGAAUCUGGAAACAGAUUUUCCCUUCGGGGCAUGAAACUAGGUGCUGCAUGGUUGUCGUCAGCUCGUGCCGUGAGGUGUCGGAUUAAGUUCCAUAACGAGCGCAACCCUUGCCGUUAGUUGCCAUCAAGUUAAGUUGGGCACUCUAGCGGGACUGCCGGUGUAAACCGCGAGGAAGGUGGGGAUGACGUCAAAUCAGCACGGCCCUUACGUCCGGGGCGACACACGUGUUACAAUGGUCGGUACAGAGGGCAGCUACCCAGUGAUGGGAUGCGAAUCUCGAAAGCCGAUCUCAGUUCGGAUCGGAGGCUGAAACUCGCCUCCGUGAAGUUGGAUUCGCUAGUAAUCGCGCAUCAGCCAUGGCGCGGUGAAUACGUUCCCGGGC